GAUCCUGGCUCAGAUUGAACGCUGGCGGAAUGCUUUACACAUGCAAGUCGAACGGUAGACGGGGGCAACCCCUCGAGAGUGGCGAACGGGUGAGUAAUAUAUCGGAACGUGCCCAGUCGUGGGGGAUAACGUAGCGAAAGUUACGCUAAUACCGCAUACGAUCUACGGAUGAAANCGGGGGACUCGUAAGAGCCUCGCGCGAUUGGAGCGGCCGAUAUCAGAUUAGGUAGUUGGUGAGGUAAAGGCUCACCAAGCCAACGAUCUGUAGCUGGUCCUGAGAGGACGACCAGCCACACUGGAACUGAGACACGGUCCAGACUCCUACGGGAGGCAGCAGUGGGGAAUUUUGGACAAUGGACGCAAGUCUGAUCCAGCCAUUCCGCGUGCAGGACGAAGGCCUUCGGGUUGUAAACUGCUUUUGUACAGAACGAAAAGGUCUCUAUUAAUACUAGGGGCUCAUGACGGUACUGUAAGAAUAAGCACCGGCUAACUACGUG
This 497-nucleotide ribosomal RNA is filed under the name uncultured bacterium. RNAcentral describes it as "bacterial SSU rRNA". It matches the Rfam family "Bacterial small subunit ribosomal RNA", at positions 15 to 507 of the family's 1533-position model. The record is from RNAcentral.